ACUGCGGGCAGAUUCUUGACCAUCUGAGCCACCAGGGAAUCCCUGGUCAUCUUCCCCAACUACUGACCAAAACAAAUUCUUCCCGCAACCUUUGCCCCGGAUGCAUCCAUUUUUGAGGAACAGGGAUUCAUCUAUUCUCAUGAAAUUUUUUUUUCCUUGAAAAAAUCCCAGAAUGUGGAAUAUAGGCCCUUGCCAGUUAGGAACGGAAGCCUCGGCAAGAGUCCCUCGGGUGUGCGCACGCCCAGCAAGCUCGGGGUCAGGCACGAGUGAACAUGAACUUUCACAGAGUCUGGAUAACAGAAAUGAGUUUCAAAAUAAAUAAAUCGGACAGACUUACACAUUUGGCAAAAAGACAUGAGAAACACAAUGACAGACAGAAGCCAGGCUGAUGGAGAGUGGCAACCACAGGAGGCUGUCCCUCCAGCCCCAUAGGCACGUCACCAAGCAAUUAAAGCACUGGACCCACGACAAAGACGUGGGUGUCCUGAAGCGAAGGAAGUCUUCAUUUCAGGGCACUUCAAAAGAUUACAGAACCACGCAACGUGAAGGCAAUCUCUGCUGUGAACCCAGGAGAGGCAACGUCGACCUAGAUCACUGGGCAAGAUGUGGCUUUAGAGGCCUGUUGGUGGAGCCCUUAGUGAGCAAGGAGCAGAGGGACCUCAGUGCCUGGAGUGUGACCGACAGGCCCCUUUCCAGCCCGUGUUCCUGGGAAGUCAGACCCUGGGGAGGGCUGCAGGAUGUGGGCCCAGGCCCAGAGCAGGACUAAGUCAGGCUGGGAAGAGCUGGGGGAGCCACCGGGAAGCGACUCCGCCUCUGGCCCGUGACUGUGGGUUUGUAUGGGGUAUGUUUAUGACCACAAGGCUCUGCGAAAUGACUAAUACAUAAAACAGCAAUUAAAGCUCUUCGGUUCCAUAAUUUUGCCCAUCAAAUCAAAGAAUCGCUUAGUUCACAAAAUUACAAUUUAUUUUCUGAUGAGGCUUAAUUUGUUAUUCUGAGUACGUUUUAAGGCCACAGUCCCCAACCUUUUAAGGGACUAGUUUCCUGGAAGACAGUUUUUCCACAUACCACAGGGUGGUGGGGGAUGGUUUCAG
Non-coding RNA from Odocoileus virginianus texanus, 1091 nucleotides. NCBI's taxonomy places the organism in Eukaryota, Metazoa, Chordata, Mammalia, Artiodactyla, Cervidae. The record is from RefSeq and is a predicted model, not a curated record.